GAACGAGUUGGAAAGCUUAGCCAGAGACUGUGAUAGCCAGGUAUGCGAAAACGACGCUGACCUUAUUCUGUAUUCUCGAGUAGGUCGGGGCACGAGAAACCCUGAUUGAAUCCGGCUGGACCACCAGCCAAGGCUAAAUAUAGUAUAUGAUCGAUAGUGAACUAGUACGGUGACGGAAAGGUGAAAAGAACCCCGGGAGGGGAGUGAAAUAGAACCUGAAAUUUUGUGCCUACAAGGAGUCGGAGCCCAGCACCUUUGAAAUCGAGUGAUACAAUGUAGGCGGAUGUUCUACGUGUACGUUUUGCAAAGUGAUCGGGAAUCAGAUCAAAUUUACUUCGGUCAGACUAGUGACUUAAGACGACGUCUCUCGGAGCAUAAUUCUGGCAAGGAUACUUAUACCAAGAUAUAUGCGCCAUGGAAGGUUGUCUACUAUGAAGCCUAUUCAUCACGUAAGCUAGCAAUGGCCCGUGAGAGGCAGUUGAAAGCUUAUGGACAAGCCAGGACUGCUCUGGAGAAGAGACUAAAUUUGAUCUGAUACUCGAUUUCAAAGGUGCUGGGUGACGGCGUGCUUUUUGUAGAACGAUCCAGCGAGUUAAUUUUUACGGCGAGGUUAAGUCAGAUGAUGAAGCCACAGUGAAAGCGAGCAUUAACAGUGCGAUUUAGUCGUAAGGAUUAGACCCGAAACCAGGUGACCUAACCAUGAGCAGGUUGAAGCAACCUUAAUCGGUUGUGGAGGACCGAACCAGUGUAUAUUGCAAAAUGCUUGGAUGACUUGUGGUUAGCGGUGAAAUGCCAAUCGAACUUGGAGAUAGCUGGUUCUCCGCGAAAUAGUUAUAGGACUAGCGUCGUGUGAUAGCUUACGGGGGUAGAGCUCUGUCAAGAGAUAGGGGGAGCAAUCCUACCUACUCUUAAUAAACUACGAAUACCGUAUGUCUGUAUCACGGCAGUUAGAACGUCGGUGCUAAGAUCGGCGCUCAAAAGGGAAACAGCCCAGACCAUCAUCUAAGGUCCCCAAAUUUACGCUAAGUGGGAAACAAGGUGGAAUUUCUUAAACAGCUAGGAUGUUGGCUUAGAAGCAGCCAUUCAUUUAAAGAGUGCGUAACAGCUCACUAGUCAAGAGAUUCUGCGUGGAAGAUAUAACGGGGCUAAGCGUAAUACCGAAGAUAUGGAUUGCAAUUUAUUGCAGUGGUAGCGGAGCGUUCCUAUCGGCAGUGAAGCCGGACUGUUAAGUACCGGUGGAGCGUUAGGAAGUGAGAAUGCUGGAACGAGUAACCAUAAGACAGGUGAGAAUCCUGUCGGCCGAAAGAGCGAGGUUUCCUGGGCUAUGGUAAUCAUCCCAGGGUUAGUCGGGCCUAAGCCGAGGCGUUUAGCGUAGGCGAUGGACAUCAGGUUAAUAUUCCUGAACUAGUCAAACUUUGUAUGCAGUUAGCGAUGAGAUAGGUGGAGCGGAUUCAUGGUUUAUCCGUUCAAGUGAUAGAGGAAUCUUGAUCGAGUAAAAGUGAACCUACGGGUUUACGAUUCCACUGAAGGCAUUGACCAGAAAAGCUGGCAUACGCAUGGGUUUGGCUACCCGUACCGCAAACCGACACAGGUGCUCGAGUCGAGGAGACUAAGGCUUACGAGAGAAUGAUUGCUAAGGAACUCGGCAAUACAGCGACCGUAACUUCGGAAUAAGGUCUGCCUACAUUUGUAGGCCGCAGCUAAAGAGCCCACGGAACUGUUUAUCAAAAACUCAGGUCUCUGCUAACACGAAAGUGGAUGUAUAGGGGCUGAAACCUGCCCGGUGCCGGAAGGUUAAGGGGAUUGCUUCACGGUGAAAACUGAAGCCCCGGUGAACGGCGGCGGUAACUAUAACCGUCCUAAGGUAGCGAAAUUCCUUGUCAGGU
Molecule: ribosomal RNA, 1886 nt
Filed under: human oral metagenome
Description: bacterial LSU rRNA
Rfam family: Bacterial large subunit ribosomal RNA
Source: RNAcentral